UACGAAGGGAGCUAGCGUUACUCGGAAUCAUUGGGCGUAAAGCGUGCGUAGGCGGCUUUAUAAGUCGGAAGUGAAAGCCUGGGGCUCAACCCCAGAAUUGCUUUCGAUACUGUAAAGCUAGAAUACCAGAGGGGAUGGCGGAAUUCCUAGUGUAGAGGUGAAAUUCGUAGAUAUUAGGAGGAACACCGGUGGCGAAGGCGGCCAUCUGGCUGGUUAUUGACGCUGUUGCACGAAAGCGUGGGGAGCAAACAGG
This 253-nucleotide ribosomal RNA is filed under the name uncultured bacterium. Its description in RNAcentral is "partial 16S ribosomal RNA". It matches the Rfam family "Bacterial small subunit ribosomal RNA", at positions 524 to 776 of the family's 1533-position model. The record is from RNAcentral.